CGGAGGAUCCAAGCGUUAUCCGGAUUUAUUGGGUUUAAAGGGUGCGUAGGCGGCUUUUUAAGUCAGGGGUGAAAGACGGUAGCUCAACUAUCGCAGUGCCCUUGAUACUGAAGAGCUUGAAUGUACUUGAGGUAGGCGGAAUGUGACAAGUAGCGGUGAAAUGCAUGGAUAUGUCACAGAACACCAAUUGCGAAGGCAGCUUACUAAAGUAUGAUUGACGCUGAGGCACGAAAGCGUGGGGAUCAAACAGGAUUAGAUACCUUGGUAGUCCACGCCCUAAACGAUGAACACUCGAUGUUGGCGAUAUACGGUCAGCGUCUAAGCGAAAGCGUUAAGUGUUCCACCUGGGGAGUACGCCCGCAGGGGUG
RNAcentral lists this ribosomal RNA (368 nucleotides) under uncultured organism. Its description in RNAcentral is "bacterial SSU rRNA". It matches the Rfam family "Bacterial small subunit ribosomal RNA", at positions 526 to 896 of the family's 1533-position model. The record is from RNAcentral.